RNAcentral lists this ribosomal RNA (663 nucleotides) under uncultured bacterium. RNAcentral describes it as "bacterial SSU rRNA". It matches the Rfam family "Bacterial small subunit ribosomal RNA", at positions 111 to 760 of the family's 1533-position model. The record is from RNAcentral.
UAACACGUAGGUAACCUGCCCCGGAGCGGGGGAUAACAUUUGGAAACAGAUGCUAAUACCGCAUAACAACAAAAGCCACAUGGCUUUUGUUUGAAAGAUGGCUUUGGCUAUCACUCCGGGAUGGACCUGCGGUGCAUUAGCUAGUUGGUAAGGUAACGGCUUACCAAGGCGAUGAUGCAUAGCCGAGUUGAGAGACUGAUCGGCCACAAUGGAACUGAGACACGGUCCAUACUCCUACGGGAGGCAACAGUAGGGAAUCUUCCACAAUGGGCGCAAGCCUGAUGGAGCAACACCGCGUGAGUGAAGAAGGGUUUCGGCUCGUAAAGCUCUGUUGUUGGAGAAGAACGUGCGUGAGAGUAACUGUUCACGCAGUGACGGUAUCCAACCAGAAAGUCACGGCUAACUACGUGCCAGCAGCCGCGGUAAUACGUAGGUGGCAAGCGUUAUCCGGAUUUAUUGGGCGUAAAGCGAGCGCAGGCGGUUGCUUAGGUCUGAUGUGAAAGCCUUCGGCUUAACCGAAGAAGUGCAUCGGAAACCGGGCAACUUGAGUGCAGAAGAGGACAGUGGAACUCCAUGUGUAGCGGUGGAAUGCGUAGAUAUAUGGAAGAACACCAGUGGCGAAGGCGGCUGUCUGGUCUGCAACUGACGCUGAGGCUCGAAAGC